CAACCCUCAAGCUCUGCUUGGUAUUGGAUGUCACCCUUGUGGUGCAUCUCAAAAUCAGUAGCGGUGCCUUUUGGCCUCAAGUGUAGUAAAAUUUCUCGCUUUGGAGGUUCAGAUGUGUGCUUGCUAGUAAAACAUAUUUCUUUAAUGG
Molecule: unclassified non-coding RNA, 148 nt
Filed under: uncultured Helotiales
Lineage: Eukaryota; Fungi; Ascomycota; Leotiomycetes; Helotiales
Description: sequence contains ITS2
Source: RNAcentral